CCUCCUUCAUGGGACUGACAGACAUGUGGCUGCUGUCCUGACAGUGUGUCUGUGCAGGAUAGUGUUUGGCCUCCCACAAAGCUGUGAAUUGACUGAGAGCUGGACUGCCCUGGAGUCUGUGUGGGAGCGGUGUGUUUCCUGCAGCCGCCGCCGCUGCUGUAUCGGGCUGUGUAUGCUCUCCUUCAUGCUGCCAGUGGUGCAGUCAUCAGCUGCAGUUGACCCCGGGCUUUACUGCUGUUUUGGCUCUCCUUCUUUGGAUGUGCUUGACACCUGCUCGUCGCACCACGGCCUCCUCAGUACACCCUGCUGCCCUAGGGGCCUGAUGGACCACCCAGGCUCCUUGAGAAGUGUGG
Salarias fasciatus (jewelled blenny) is the source of this 353-nucleotide long non-coding RNA. RefSeq lists it as uncharacterized. The record is from RefSeq and is a predicted model, not a curated record. NCBI's taxonomy places the organism in Eukaryota, Metazoa, Chordata, Actinopteri, Blenniiformes, Blenniidae. The transcript is spliced from 3 exons.